Long non-coding RNA from Nilaparvata lugens (brown planthopper), 348 nucleotides. RefSeq lists it as uncharacterized. Lineage: Eukaryota; Metazoa; Arthropoda; Insecta; Hemiptera; Delphacidae. The record is from RefSeq and is a predicted model, not a curated record. The transcript has 3 exons.
AACAUGUUUCGGACAUUUAUGCCAUUUUCAUCUGUUAGAUUCAUCUGAUCUGAAGGAGUGGUUAUAGUCGAGUGGAUUGGAUGCUGGCUUCAUAAUUUAGAGACCUGGGCUCGAAUAUCGGCCUGAACAAGAUAUUUUUUCUCAGCAACUCUUAUGUUUUAGAUGGACACUUCAAGUCGUCGAUCCCGGCUGCCUGGAAACAGUCGAUGUCCACAUGUGACCAGGGGACUGAUAGCCAAUCACCAGUCUCAGAGCACAAUUCAUUGAGUGGAAAAUCAGAUUCCAGUUUGACCAAGGCCAUUGAACAAGAAGUGUGUGGUGGUAGAAUAGCCAAAGUAGAAUCUGUAA